RNAcentral lists this RNase P RNA (379 nucleotides) under Sphingomonas sp. Leaf339. Its description in RNAcentral is "Bacterial RNase P class A". It matches the Rfam family "Bacterial RNase P class A". From Rfam's summary of the family: Ribonuclease P (RNase P) is a ubiquitous endoribonuclease, found in archaea, bacteria and eukarya as well as chloroplasts and mitochondria. Its best characterised activity is the generation of mature 5'-ends of tRNAs by cleaving the 5'-leader elements of precursor-tRNAs. The record is from Rfam by way of RNAcentral. Lineage: Bacteria; Pseudomonadati; Pseudomonadota; Alphaproteobacteria; Sphingomonadales; Sphingomonadaceae.
CCAGAGGAUCGGGCGACCGCGGGUGGCUUUCGGGCCGCGCGAGGAAAGUCCGGGCUCCACGAAACGACGGUGCCGGGUAACGCCCGGCGGGGGCGACCCCAGGGACAGUGCCACAGAGAGUAGACGGCGACCGCUUCGGCGACGCCCAUGUGAAAGGGUGCGGUAAAAGCGCACCGCGCGACCGGUAACGGAAGCGGCAUGGUAAACCCCACCGGGAGCAAGACCGAAUAGGGAUGGCAUGGAUCGCAAGGUCCGGGGCGUGUUUCCGCCUGCCGUCCGGGUUGGUUGCUGGAGGCGGCGCGCAAGCGUCGUCGUAGAGGAAUGGUCGCCCAUCCCCUUUGUGGGAGGACAGAACCCGGCUUACAGAUCCUCUGGCGUU